AGAGUUUGAUCCUGGCUCAGAUUGAACGCUGGCGGCGUGCCUAACACAUGCAAGUCGAUCGGUAACGCGGGGGCAACCCUGGCGACGAGAGGCGGACGGGUGAGCAAUGCUUGGGAAUCUGCCCAUCAGCGGGGGACAACCCGGGGAAACUCGGGCUAAUACCGCAUACGCUCUACGGAGGAAAGCCGGGGACCGCAAGGCCUGGCACUGACGGAUGAGCCCAAGCCGGAUUAGCUAGUUGGCGGGGUAACGGCCCACCAAGGCGACGAUCCGUAGCUGGUCUGAGAGGACGAUCAGCCACACCGGAACUGAGACACGGUCCGGACUCCUACGGGAGGCAGCAGUGGGGAAUAUUGGACAAUGGGGGAAACCCUGAUCCAGCGACGCCGCGUGGGUGAAGAAGGCCUGCGGGUUGUAAAGCCCUUUCGGUAGGGACGAAAGCUUCCGACCUAACACGUCGGAAGGUUGACUUAACCUC
Molecule: ribosomal RNA, 478 nt
Filed under: uncultured Gammaproteobacteria bacterium
Lineage: Bacteria; Pseudomonadati; Pseudomonadota; Gammaproteobacteria
Description: bacterial SSU rRNA
Rfam family: Bacterial small subunit ribosomal RNA
Source: RNAcentral